Molecule: ribosomal RNA, 4258 nt
Filed under: Clostridium acetobutylicum
Lineage: Bacteria; Bacillati; Bacillota; Clostridia; Eubacteriales; Clostridiaceae
Also listed under: 1 other name
Description: 23S ribosomal RNA
Rfam family: Bacterial large subunit ribosomal RNA
Source: RNAcentral
AUAAGGUCAAGCUACAAAGGGCGCAUGGUGAAUGCCUUGGCACUAGGAGCCGAUGAAGGACGUGAUAAGCUGCGAUAAGCUUCGGGUAGGCGCAAAUAGCUUGUGAACCGAAGAUUUCCGAAUGAGGAAACUCUCAUGGGUAACCCCAUGAACUGUAUACUGAAUUCAUAGGUAUAUAGAGGUAAACCCGGGGAACUGAAACAUCUAAGUACCUGGAGGAAGAGAAAGAAAAAUCGAUUUCCUUAGUAGCGGCGAGCGAAACGGAAAGAGCCCAAACCGGAAACUUGUUUCCGGGGUUGCGGUUAGAUCAUUAAAGCUUUAUAUCUUAACCGAAGAUUUCUGGAAAGUUAAACCAUAGAAGGUAAUAGUCCUGUAGGUAAAAAGAGAAAAAAGCCCGAUCUGUACCAGAGUACCACGAGACACGUGAAACCUUGUGGGAAGCUGGGAGGACCACCUCCCAAGGCUNAAUCGAUUUCCUUAGUAGCGGCGAGCGAAACGGAAAGAGCCCAAACCGGAAACUUGUUUCCGGGGUUGCGGUCAGAUCAUUAAGGCUUUAUAUCUUAACCGAAGAUUUCUGGAAAGUUAAACCAUAGAAGGUAAUAGUCCUGUAGGUAAAAAGAGAAAAAAUCCCGAUCUGUACCAGAGUACCACGAGACACGUGAAACCUUGUGGGAAGCUGGGAGGACCACCUCCCAAGGCUAAAUACUACCUAGUGACCGAUAGUGAAGAAGUACCGUGAGGGAAAGGUGAAAAGAACCCCAGGAGGGGAGUGAAAUAGAACCUGAAACCGUGUNCUGGAAAGUUAAACCAUAGAAGGUAAUAGUCCUGUAGGUAAAAAGAGAAAAAAGCCCGAUCUGUACCAGAGUACCACGAGACACGUGAAACCUUGUGGGAAGCUGGGAGGACCACCUCCCAAGGCUAAAUACUACCUAGUGACCGAUAGUGAAGAAGUACCGUGAGGGAAAGGUGAAAAGAACCCCAGGAGGGGAGUGAAAUAGAGCCUGAAACCGUGUGUCCACAACCGAUCAAAACACGUUAAUGUGUGAUGAUGUGCUUUUUGUAGAACGAGCCAGCGAGUUACGGUAUGCAGCAAGGUUAAGCACUUAAGGUGCGCAGCCGAAGGGAAACCAAGUCUGAAUAGGGCGUAUAGUUGCAUGCUGUAGACCCGAAACCGGGUGANAAAAGAACCCCAGGAGGGGAGUGAAAUAGAACCUGAAACCGUGUGUCCACAACCGAUCAAAACACGUUAAUGUGUGAUGAUGUGCUUUUUGUAGAACGAGCCAGCGAGUUACGGUAUGCAGCAAGGUUAAGCACUUAAGGUGCGCAGCCGAAGGGAAACCAAGUCUGAAUAGGGCGUAUAGUUGCAUGCUGUAGACCCGAAACCGGGUGACCUAUCCAUGGCCAGGGUGAAGCGGAAGUAAAAUUCCGUGGAGGCCCGAACCACAAUGGUGUUGAAAAACCAUGGGAUGAGCUGUGGAUAGGGGAGAAAUUCCAAUCGAACUCGGAUAUAGCUGGUUCUCCUCGAAAUAGCUUUAGGGCUAGCGCCAUGAAUGAGUACCGGAGGUAGAGCACUGAAUGAGGUAGGGGCUGACAACAGUUACCGAACUUUAUCAAACUCCGAAUGCUGGAUACUUGAAUCAUGGUAGUCAGACUGCGAAUGAUAAGAUCCGUAGUCAAAAGGGAAACAGCCCAGAUCACCAGCUAAGGUCCCAAAGUAUAGAUUAAGUGGUAAAGGAUGUGGGAUUUCUAAGACAACUAGGAUGUUGGCUCAGAAGCAGCCAUACAUUAAAAGAGUGCGUAAUAGCUCACUAGUCAAGAGAUCCUGCGCCGAAAAUGUCCGGGGCUAAAAUCUAACACCGAAGCUGUGAACUUGUACUUCGUACAAGUGGUAGAGGAGCAUCCUGUAUGGGCUGAAGUCGUACCGAAAGGAGCGGUGGACUGUACAGGAGAGAGUAUGCUGGCAUAAGUAGCGAGAACUAAGUGAGAAUCUUAGUGGUCGAAAACCUAAGGUUUCCUGGGGAAGGUUCGUCCGCCCAGGGUAAGUCGGGACCUAAGCCGAGGCCGAAAGGCGUAGGUGAUGGACAAUCGGUUGAUAUUCCGAUACCGCAGAGUAACGUUAUGAGAAAUGGGAUGACGCAGGAGGAUAGGAUAUGCGUACGUUAUUGGAAGUACGCCUAAGCACUGAGGAUGAAAGAUAGGAAAAUCCGUCUUUCGUUAAGUCUGGGGUGUAAUGGUGAGGUAGUUUACUACCGAAAUAUCUGAUUUCAUGCUGCCAAGAAAAGUCUCUAUCCAGGAGUUCUGUGCCCGUACCGCAAACCGACACAGGUAGGUGAGGAGAGAAUCCUAAGACCAUCGGAAGAAUUGCUGUUAAGGAACUCGGCAAAUUGACCCCGUAACUUCGGGAGAAGGGGUGCCUANCUGGCAUAAGUAGCGAGAACUAAGUGAGAAUCUUAGUGGUCGAAAACCUAAGGUUUCCUGGGGAAGGUUCGUCCGCCCAGGGUAAGUCGGGACCUAAGCCGAGGCCGAAAGGCGUAGGUGAUGGACAAUCGGUUGAUAUUCCGAUACCGCAGAGUAACGUUAUGAGAAAUGGGAUGACGCAGGAGGAUAGGAUAUGCGUACGUUAUUGGAAGUACGUCUAAGCACUGAGGAUGAAAGAUAGGAAAAUCCGUCUUUCGUUAAGUCUGGGGUGUAAUGGUGAGGUAGUUUACUACCGAAAUAUCUGAUUUCAUGCUGCCAAGAAAAGUCUCUAUCCAGGAGCUCUGUGCCCGUACCGCAAACCGACACAGGUAGGUGAGGAGAGAAUCCUAAGACCAUCGGAAGAAUUGCUGUUAAGGAACUCGGCAAAUUGACCCCGUAACUUCGGGAGAAGGGGUGCCUACGAGAGUAGGUCGCAGAGAAUAGGCCCAAGCAACUGUUUAUCAAAAACACAGGUUUCUGCUAAAGCGAAAGCUGAAGUAUAGGAGCUGACGCCUGCCCGGUGCUGGAAGGUUAAGGGGAAUGCUUAGCGCAAGCGAAGGCAUGAACUUAAGCCCCAGUAAACGGCGGCCGUAACUAUAACGGUCCUAAGGUAGCGAAAUUCCUUGUCGGGUAAGUUCCGACCCGCACGAAUGGCGUAAUGAUUUGGGCACUGUCUCAACAGCAAAUCCGGCGAAAUUGUAGUGCAAGUGAAGAUGCUUGCUACNGCUGACGCCUGCCCGGUGCUGGAAGGUUAAGGGGAAUGCUUAGCGCAAGCGAAGGCAUGAACUUAAGCCCCAGUAAACGGCGGCCGUAACUAUAACGGUCCUAAGGUAGCGAAAUUCCUUGUCGGGUAAGUUCCGACCCGCACGAAUGGCGUAAUGAUUUGGGCACUGUCUCAACAGCAAAUCCGGCGAAAUUGUAGUGCAAGUGAAGAUGCUUGCUACCCGCGAUUGGACGGAAAGACCCCGUAGAGCUUUACUGUAUCUUAGCAUUGAAUCUCGGUAUUGUCUGUACAGAAUAGGUGGGAGACUUGGAAGCAGUUCCGUCAGGGAUUGUGGAGUCGUCUUUGGGAUACCACCCUGACAGUACUGGGGUUCUAACCGGAGGCCAUGAAACUGGUCACGGGACAUAGCUAGGAGGGCAGUUUGACUGGGGCGGUCGCCUCCUAAAAAGUAACGGAGGCGCCCAAAGGUUCCCUCAGCGCGGUUGGAAACCGCGCGUAGAGUGCAAAGGCAGAAGGGAGCCUGACUGCGACACAAACAAGUGGAGCAGAGACGAAAGUCGGGCUUAGUGAUCCGGUGACACCUCGUGGGAGGGUCAUCGCUCAACGGAUAAAAGCUACCUCGGGGAUAACAGGCUGAUCUCCCCCAAGAGUCCACAUCGACGGGGAGGUUUGGCACCUCGAUGUCGGCUCGUCGCAUCCUGGGGCUGAAGUAGGUCCCAAGGGUUGGGCUGUUCGCCCAUUAAAGCGGCACGCGAGCUGGGUUCAGAACGUCGUGAGACAGUUCGGUCCCUAUCCGUCGCGGGCGAAGGAAAUUUGAGAGGAGCUGUCCUUAGUACGAGAGGACCGGGAUGGACUGACCUCUGGUGUACCAGUUGUCUUACCAAAGGCACGGCUGGGUAGCUAUGUCGGGAAGGGAUAAACGCUGAAGGCAUCUAAGCGUGAAGCCCACCUCAAGAUUAGAUUUCCCAUAACAUAAGUUAGUAAGACCCCUGUAAGAACAACAGGUGAUAGGUCAGAGGUGUAAGAAUGGUAACAUUUUAAGCUGACUGAUACUAAUAGGUCGAGGGCUUGACCAAU